GCGCUCGUAGCUCAAUUGGAUAGAGUGUCAGAUUCCGAUUCUGAAGGUUGCGGGUUCAAUCCCUGUCGAGCGCGCCA
Molecule: transfer RNA, 77 nt
Filed under: Chlamydia trachomatis
Lineage: Bacteria; Pseudomonadati; Chlamydiota; Chlamydiia; Chlamydiales; Chlamydiaceae
Also listed under: 2 other names
Description: tRNA-Arg(ccg)
Rfam family: tRNA
About the family: Transfer RNA (tRNA) molecules are approximately 80 nucleotides in length. Their secondary structure includes four short double-helical elements and three loops (D, anti-codon, and T loops). Further hydrogen bonds mediate the characteristic L-shaped molecular structure. tRNAs have two regions of fundamental functional importance: the anti-codon, which is responsible for specific mRNA codon recognition, and the 3' end, to which the tRNAs corresponding amino acid is attached (by aminoacyl-tRNA synthetases). tRNAs cope with the degeneracy of the genetic code in two manners: having more than one tRNA (with a specific anti-codon) for a particular amino acid; and 'wobble' base-pairing, i.e. permitting non-standard base-pairing at the 3rd anti-codon position.
Source: RNAcentral